This 654-nucleotide ribosomal RNA is filed under the name uncultured bacterium. RNAcentral describes it as "bacterial SSU rRNA". It matches the Rfam family "Bacterial small subunit ribosomal RNA", at positions 57 to 706 of the family's 1533-position model. The record is from RNAcentral.
GCAGUCGACGGCAGCACGGGUGCUUGCACCUGGUGGCGAGUGGCGAACGGGUGAGUAAUAUAUCGGAACAUGUCCGGAAGUGGGGGAUAACGUAGCGAAAGUUACGCUAAUACCGCAUAUGCCCUGAGGGGGAAAGGAGGGGAUCGCAAGACCUUUCGCUUUCGGAGUGGCCGAUAUCGGAUUAGCUGGUUGGUGAGGUAAAGGCUCACCAAGGCGACGAUCCGUAGCUGGUCUGAGAGGACGACCAGCCACACUGGGACUGAGACACGGCCCAGACUCCUACGGGAGGCAGCAGUGGGGAAUUUUGGACAAUGGGCGCAAGCCUGAUCCAGCCAUGCCGCGUGAGUGAAGAAGGCCUUCGGGUUGUAAAGCUCUUUCGGACAGAAAGAAAUCCUAUCCGUUAAUACCGGGUGGGGAUGACGGUACUGUAAGAAGAAGCACCGGCUAACUACGUGCCAGCAGCCACGGUAAUACGUAGGGUGCGAGCGUUAAUCGGAAUUACUGGGCGUAAAGCGUGCGCAGGCGGUUUUGUAAGACAGGCGUGAAAUCCCCGGGCUUAACCUGGGAACUGCGCUUGUGACUGCAAGACUGGAGUGUGGCAGAGGGGGGUAGAAUUCCACGUGUAGCAGUGAAAUGCGUAGAGAUGUGGAGGAA